Molecule: transfer RNA, 77 nt
Filed under: Nocardioides cavernaquae
Lineage: Bacteria; Bacillati; Actinomycetota; Actinomycetes; Propionibacteriales; Nocardioidaceae
Description: Nocardioides sp. K1W22B-1 tRNA-Arg
Rfam family: tRNA
About the family: Transfer RNA (tRNA) molecules are approximately 80 nucleotides in length. Their secondary structure includes four short double-helical elements and three loops (D, anti-codon, and T loops). Further hydrogen bonds mediate the characteristic L-shaped molecular structure. tRNAs have two regions of fundamental functional importance: the anti-codon, which is responsible for specific mRNA codon recognition, and the 3' end, to which the tRNAs corresponding amino acid is attached (by aminoacyl-tRNA synthetases). tRNAs cope with the degeneracy of the genetic code in two manners: having more than one tRNA (with a specific anti-codon) for a particular amino acid; and 'wobble' base-pairing, i.e. permitting non-standard base-pairing at the 3rd anti-codon position.
Source: RNAcentral
GCCCCCAUAGCUCAGCUGGAUAGAGCAGCGGGUUUCUACCCCGACGGCCGAGGGUUCGAGUCCUUCUGGGGGCACCU